This 291-nucleotide ribosomal RNA is filed under the name uncultured bacterium. RNAcentral describes it as "partial 16S ribosomal RNA". It matches the Rfam family "Bacterial small subunit ribosomal RNA", at positions 28 to 302 of the family's 1533-position model. The record is from RNAcentral.
GACGAACGCUGGCGGCGUGCCUAAUACAUGCAAGUUGAACGCAACAAAGACACCAGAGCUUGCUCUACCGUCUUUGUUGAGUAGCGAACGGGUGAGUAACGCGUGGGUAACCUGCCUUAUAGCGGGGGAUAACUAUUGGAAACGAUAGCUAAUACCGCAUAACAAUAGAGAUUGCAUAAUCUUAUUUGAAAGUGCCAACUGGUACACUAUGAGAUGGACCCGCGUUGUAUUAGCUAGUUGGUAGUGUAAUGGACUACCAAGGCGAUGAUACAUAGCCGACCUGAGAGGGUG